RNAcentral lists this ribosomal RNA (120 nucleotides) under Sinocyclocheilus rhinocerous. Lineage: Eukaryota; Metazoa; Chordata; Actinopteri; Cypriniformes; Cyprinidae. The record is from RNAcentral.
UCCAUUGUCCUCAUUUGUAAGUCGCAGCCCAAGACUGGUUGCCCACUGAAGCUAAGCAGGGUUGAGCCUGGUCAGUACCUGGAUGGGAGACCUCCUGGGAAAACUGGGUUGCUGCUGGAA